Molecule: unclassified non-coding RNA, 331 nt
Filed under: soil metagenome
Description: partial contains 5.8S ribosomal RNA, internal transcribed spacer 2, and large subunit ribosomal RNA
Rfam family: 5.8S ribosomal RNA (bases 1-120)
Source: RNAcentral
GAUGAAGAACGUAGCGGAAUGCGAUAAGUAAUGUGAAUUGCAGAAUUCAGUGAAUCAUCGAAUCUUUGAACGCACAUUGCGCCCCCUGGUAUUCCGGGGGGCAUGCCUGUUCGAGCGUCAUUUCACCACUCAAGCCUCGCUUGGUAUUGGGCAACGCGGUCCGCCGCGUGCCUCAAAUCGACCGGCUGGGUCUUCUGUCCCCUAAGCGUUGUGGAAACUAUUCGCUAAAGGGUGUUCGGGAGGCUACGCCGUAAAACAACCCCAUUUCUAAGGUUGACCUCGGAUCAGGUAGGGAUACCCGCUGAACUUAAGCAUAUCAAUAAGCGGAGGA